GAUGAACGCUGGCGGCGUGCCUAAUACAUGCAAGUCGAGCGAACGGACGAGAAGCUUGCUUUUCUGAUGUUAGCGGCGGACGGGUGAGUAACACGUGGAUAACCUACCUAUAAGACUUGGAUAACUUCGGGAAACCGGAGCUAAUACCGGAUAAUAUUUUGAACCGCAUGGUUCAAAAGUGAAAGACGGUCUUGCUGUCACUUAUAGAUGGAUCCGCGCUGCAUUAGCUAGUUGGUAAGGUAACGGCUUACCAAGGCAACGAUGCAUAGCCGACCUGAGAGGGUGAUCGGCCACACCGGAACUGGGGCACGGUCCAGGCUCCUACGGGAGGCAGCAGUAGGGAAUCUUCCGCAAUGGGCGAAAGCCUGACGGAGCAACGCCGCGGGGGUGAUGAAGGUCUUCGGAUCGUAAAACUCUGUUAUUAGGGAAGAACAUAUGUGUAAGUAACUGUGCACAUCUUGACGGUACCUAAUCAGAAAGCCACGGCUAACUACGUG
RNAcentral lists this ribosomal RNA (497 nucleotides) under uncultured bacterium. RNAcentral's name for it is "partial 16S ribosomal RNA". It matches the Rfam family "Bacterial small subunit ribosomal RNA", at positions 28 to 507 of the family's 1533-position model. The record is from RNAcentral.